Long non-coding RNA from Eurytemora carolleeae, 176 nucleotides. RefSeq lists it as uncharacterized. Lineage: Eukaryota; Metazoa; Arthropoda; Copepoda; Calanoida; Temoridae. The transcript is spliced from 3 exons. The record is from RefSeq and is a predicted model, not a curated record.
AUCAAAAUGAGUCUCUGAAACUCAUGACGAAGAUAAUGAAAGAAUGUUGGUUUGAAAACCCCUCUUCCAGGCUGACUGCCCUCAGAAUAAAAAAAACUCUCGGGGUGUUCAACUCUCAAGACCUUCUUGAGGAUCAGAAGGCAAAGCUGAAAUUAGCUGUGGAAACCUCCACUAGU